RNAcentral lists this ribosomal RNA (446 nucleotides) under uncultured bacterium. Its description in RNAcentral is "bacterial SSU rRNA". It matches the Rfam family "Bacterial small subunit ribosomal RNA", at positions 227 to 695 of the family's 1533-position model. The record is from RNAcentral.
GAGCCCGCGUCCUAUUAGCUAGUUGGUAAGGUAACGGCUUACCAAGGCGACGAUGGGUAGCCGGUCUGAGAGGACGAACGACCACACUGGAACUGAGACACGGUCCAGACUCCUACGGGAGGCAGCAGUGGGGAAUUUUGCGCAAUGGGGGAAACCCUGACGCAGCAACGCCGCGUGGAUGAUGAAGGCCUUCGGGUCGUAAAGUCCUGUUCUGGGGGAAGUGACGGUACCCCAGCAGAAAGCUCCGGCCAUUAUGUGCCAGCAGCCGCGGUAACACAUAAGGAGCAAGCGUUGUCCGGAAUUAUUGGGCGUAAAGAGCUCGUAGACGGUUCCGAAAGUCAGCUGUGAAAUCACCAGGCUUAACCUGGUAGGGCCAGUUGAAACUUCGGAACUUGAGGGUAGAAGAGGAAAGUGGAAUUCCCGGUGUAGCGGUGAAAUGCGUAGAU